Molecule: long non-coding RNA, 1213 nt
Organism: Thunnus maccoyii (southern bluefin tuna)
Lineage: Eukaryota; Metazoa; Chordata; Actinopteri; Scombriformes; Scombridae
Exons: 2
Source: RefSeq, a predicted model, not a curated record
AUAUUCUGUGAACCCAUCAUGUCUCACAAAAUGGACUUAAUUCAGUGAUGUUCCAGCAGUCUACACAAGACAAUGAGGCUGGAGGAAGUUUUAUCACUCAAGGUAUUGUGAAGGUGUUGAUUUCUGCUUCCCUGGGAAGUUUAGUCUGAAUUUGUAAUCAUGAACAAGCCUCUAUCAAAGGUAGAAACAGGGAGCCAAUACUCUAAUUUGUCAAGAAUCAACACUUUCUGUGUAACUAAUAACCACUGAAUGAUCACUUUUAUGGACACUGGAAGGAUGUUUUUUACUGUAUACUCUAGUCUAUCACUGUCAGCACUAUGCUUAAAUUAACAGUGUAAAUGCUGCAAUAAAUGUUUCAAGCUGACAAAGUAAGCACUGUAAGAAUUAUAGAUAUGUACUGAUAAUGAUUCAGGUCAGUAUUGGACAAUUGGAUCAUAACUUUGGGUGAUGAUGUCACAUUUUGAACAAACUUUUAAUUGUAACAUGAUUUCUAUUCGGAGGCAGAUCUCCAGCUUUAGGUUAAACAUCAUUUCCCCCCAUCUGUUGGACAGGUUGGUCUGACUUAUCGACCUACAGCUGGUACACCAUGGCUCCAGAUAGUCAUGUCACACAAGAACUUUGAUACUCAGUGUUGUAUUUCUUAGAAAUUAUUGCCUACGUGCCACGUGGCUGUUGACCGGCAUCAAACUAUCCACAGUUAAAAAGUUGUUUGAUCAUUUAGACCUAAUCUGAUACAGCUAAUGUUAAAACUGAAGGUUAAAUGCUGAAUUGUGACAGCGGGGAAUAUUUUUCUUAAUGAGCCAAGUGGGCAUCACACUCACACACACAAUACUAGUGGUAUUAUUGAUGGUUCUCAUGAGUUAGGCUAAAUAAAAUCAACAGAAUUCACUUGAAACCUUUUAUUGACAUUUACAGUAACAGUUUCAAAAUAUGUUAAAUUAGAAUAAAUACAGAAUUCAGAUACUGAAGUUUACAAAACGGUGAAAUAUCAGUCAUAGUAGGUUUAGACGUAAAAAAAAAAAAAAAAAUUACAGACAGAUAAACUUGCAUUGUGCUGCAGUGUUGAAUUGUUGCAUACAUUUAAAUUUCAAAGACAAGACAGGCAGAUUUACAAAGUCUGAGUGCAGAAUAGUUUUGGGUUUUAAAACAGUGGCACCAUGUAUUUCUGCACAGGAAUAUUUUCAACAGCUGCCAUUUUUGUGGAUAUUUUCAA